Molecule: ribosomal RNA, 497 nt
Filed under: uncultured bacterium
Lineage: Bacteria
Description: partial 16S ribosomal RNA
Rfam family: Bacterial small subunit ribosomal RNA
Source: RNAcentral
ACGAACGCUGGCGGCGUGCCUAAUACAUGCAAGUCGAGCGGACGAAUCGAAAGCUUGCUUUUGAUUCGUUAGCGGCGGACGGGUGAGUAACACGUGGGCAACCUGCCCUGUAGACGGGGAUAACACCGAGAAAUCGGUGCUAAUACCGGAUAACACGAAAUGUCGCAUGACGUUUCGUUGAAAGACGGCGCAAGCUGUCGCUACAGGAUGGGCCCGCGGCGCAUUAGCUAGUUGGUGAGGUAACGGCUCACCAAGGCGACGAUGCGUAGCCGACCUGAGAGGGUGAUCGGCCACACUGGGACUGAGACACGGCCCAGACUCCUACGGGAGGCAGCAGUAGGGAAUCUUCCGCAAUGGACGAAAGUCUGACGGAGCAACGCCGCGUGAGCGAAGAAGGCCUUCGGGUCGUAAAGCUCUGUUGUUAGGGAAGAACAAGUAACGCAGUAACUGGCGUUACCGUGACGGUGCCUAACGAGAAAGCCACGGCUAACUACGUG